GGACCCCCCCCCCCCCCCGGACCCCCCCGCCCGGGAGAGGACGCCAUCGGUGUCGUCUGCCUCGUCUGAGGAGGGCGUGGAUCUGAGGUUCUGAAGGCCGUGAGCCCCCCUCUGGUCCCAAGCUCCUCCUCUGGAACAACGGCAACCACACUGAGGGCCCCAACUCAUCCUGAGGGCCCCAACUCAUCCUGAGGGCCAAACACACUGAGGGCCCCAACUCAUCCUGAGGGCCAAACACACUGAGGGCCCCAACUCAUCCUGAGGGCCCCAACUCAUCCUGAGGGCCCUAACUCAUCCUGAGGGCCAAACACACUGAGGGCCCCAACUCAUCCUGAGGGCCAAACACACUGAGGGCCCUAACUCAUCCUGAGGGCCAAACACACUGAAGGCCCUAACUCAUCCUGAGGGCCAAACACACUGAGGGCCCCAACUCAUCCUGAGGGCCAAACACAUCCUGAGGGCCCCAACUCAUCUUGAGGGCCAACCACACUGAGGCCCCCAACUCAUCCUGAGGGCCAACCACACUGAGGGCCCUAACUCAUCCUGAGGGCUCCAACACAUCCUGAAGGCCAAACACAUUGAGGGCCCCAACACAUCCUGAGGGUCCCAACUCAUCCUUAGGUCCCGAGACAUUGAGGGCCCCAACACUUCCUGAGGAACUCAGAAGUUCAUUGACUGAGGAAAGAGAAGGCUUCACUGUUAACCAUCUACCUUCUAAAUGUGCAAAUAUGAUUAUCAACAGAAUUGAGCCAUGACAUUAACACUUGUUGUAUCCUAAUGAGUCACCUUCCUAAAGGCUUUGGAGUACUGGUUGUAUGAAACUUCUUUAAUCUGUAAAAAUAUCCUAUCCCUACACAUAACAUAAGCUAUUAAACAUGUUGCAUACUUUAAUGAUCAAAUAUCCUAAUAUAAAGCAUUAUAUAUCAGUUGUUCUGACCUGCUAUGUAAAACAAAGAAUAUUUAAAUAAACUAUUUUAUUUCGUUUUAAAAUCA
Molecule: long non-coding RNA, 993 nt
Organism: Gadus morhua (Atlantic cod)
Lineage: Eukaryota; Metazoa; Chordata; Actinopteri; Gadiformes; Gadidae
Exons: 2
Source: RefSeq, a predicted model, not a curated record